CAGGGGCGGUGCCUAUGUUGCCGUCCCCGCCCAGAAGCGACUAUCUCAUUGACUAUAAACUGCUCAAAGGGUGGGCCCUCACCAUGUAGAGCAGUUAUUGGCUGGCAGCAAGUCGAGGCGGCACUAAAAACUUUUAGAAUGGAGAGUAAGGCCCUGGAGGCGGAGCUAAGGGGGAGCAGGUAUUGGCUGCCAGCACACGCUAGGGGGCGGGAGUAAGAGGAUGGCGUCCGCUCAGGGCGCACCGUAAACUGCAGGGGCGGUGCCUCACCGUCCAGCAGCAGCCGCGCCUGCUUGCGCAGCACCUGUGCUAGCCAGUCAUCCAGGUCCACUUCCUCCAGCAGGGUCAACAGCUGCUCAUUGCGCACCACCUUGUCCUGGGCAUAGAGUCCCUCAGACAGGGCCCGCUACUGCCCCAGGCCCAGCAGUGUGAGCUCUACUGCCAGCGCCAGGUUCGGCCGCCGCUUUAGCCUUCGCCUCCGUUCCGCCCCCGGCGCCCGACCCGAUUGGACCCCGUCUAGGCCUCCGCGAUCCUCUUGUUCCCUUGGCUGCGCCUCCAGACCCAGACGCUUCGGCUCAUUGGACAACUGCUAUGCCAGUGUUACCGCGUUUGUCCAAUCACGGAACGCAGCGGGAGGCGCUGUCAAUCACACAGCUCCAGGAGCCAAUCGGAGCGGAAAGGACCCCCCCCACCGCAUCUUGGACCGUCUGCCAAGUUUCGGGGCGGGCCCUGGGUUCAUUCACAUUUCUCCCCCGCCUCCCCGGAGCUGGACUGUGGGCCAGGGGCUGCUAGGCUUUGUUUACCGAGGGUCGCUGCCGGGCGCCCGGAGGACUGUCGGCUGCGCCGCGCCUUCCACCUGCGCUUGUGCGGUCCGAGACGUGCGCCCUGCGUCUCAGGGCCCCGGCUCGGUGUGAGGUUUGGGGACCCGAGCAUAGGUGCGGAUUUCCGGCGGGACGUGGGAGGGCUGCAGACCUCGGCCCAGGCAAGGCUCAGCCCAGGGUACCCCCCCUCCUCGACCCCGUCCUUUCAGUGCCCUAAAUAGGUUGGUUCAUGAUUUUGUAAAAUUUUAUCAGGGCCGGGACUCACUAAGUAGUUCAGGCUGGCCUGAACUCACAGAGAUUCUGCUGUCUCAGCCUCCCAAGUGCUGGGGUGACAGCUGUGCGCCCCCAUGCCUGGGAAAAUUUCUAGUUUUCGAUCAUCUCGACGUAGUAAAGUGUGCAGCUUCAAAUCCAACCGCCUGCGAUCACUUUUGUGACCCAGCUCGUCCGGGCCACCAUCUGUGCCCCGGAAGCUGGCCGUGGUCUUGGUCACUGCCUCCCCCACCCCGAGAUCUCAGAGCACCCGCGUAGCGCUUCCUCGGGCUGUCUCGUUACUGCCGGCGUCUGGGCAGCACCGCCCGCGGCCGCUCGGUCUGGCACCUGUGACUUAGGCUACGACGCAAGAAAGCGAUGUGCAGAGCUGGGACGGGGCCCCUCUGCCUGGGAACUUCAGGGCUUUUCUCGGGGUCUCAAGCGGCUCUUUCUGACCAGUCCCAAAUGUGCGGUAGAUUUCAGACACUUAAAUAAAUGGCCACGGGGCUGAGGAUUUAGCUCAGCGGCAUAAGCGCCUGCCUUGCAAGCAGGCAGUCGUGAGUUCGAUCCCCUGUACCGAUGAAAACGAAAAAGACCAAAAAAAAAAAAAAAAAAAAAAAAAGGGCACAAAAUAUCUCAUUGAGAAUUUUCAGUGGGAUGCGGUGGCGCACAUCUGUCAUCCCAGCACUCAGGAAGCUGAGGCAGGGAGACUGCUGUGAAUCUGAGGCCAGCCUGGGGGAAAGCAAUUUCAAUACCCUAUCUCAAAACACCAAAUUAAAGACAGUGUUAACUAUUGAUUACACAUCAAAAUGAUGCGUGGUUUCAGUAAACUCUGAUUGAAAUUGGCUCUGCCUGCUCUGUUCUAUGUAAGCCUUGUUUUGCAGCAAUGUGGGGUGAAGAGUCCCGUGUGUUCCAGGCCAAGAAGCUGAGCCCUC
This is a long non-coding RNA of Cavia porcellus (domestic guinea pig), 2003 nucleotides long. Lineage: Eukaryota; Metazoa; Chordata; Mammalia; Rodentia; Caviidae. The record is from Ensembl.